RNAcentral lists this ribosomal RNA (327 nucleotides) under uncultured Glomus. Its description in RNAcentral is "SSU rRNA". It matches the Rfam family "Eukaryotic small subunit ribosomal RNA", at positions 768 to 1098 of the family's 1831-position model. Lineage: Eukaryota; Fungi; Glomeromycota; Glomeromycetes; Glomerales; Glomeraceae. The record is from RNAcentral.
AGAGUGUUUAAAGCAGGCUAACGCUUGAAUACAUUAGCAUGGAAUAAUGAAUAGGACGUUCGAUCUAUUUUGUUGGUUUCUAAGAUUGACGUAAUGAUUAAUAGGGAUAGUUGGGGGCAUUAGUAUUCAAUUGUCAGAGGUGAAAUUCUUGGAUUUAUUGAAGACUAACUACUGCGAAAGCAUUUGCCAAGGAUGUUUUCAUUAAUCAAGAACGAAAGUUAGGAGAUCGAAGACGAUCAGAUACCGUCGUAGUCUUAACCAUAAACUAUGCCGACUAGGGAUCGGACGACGUUAAAUAAAUGACUCGUUCGGCGCCUUACGGGAAAC